UUCAUAUGUUUUUAUCUCCUUUGUUAUUCUGAUUACGAGUCGCAUUACCAAUCAUUCAACAAUUAUAGUUUGAUAUUUUAGUUCCAUCUCAAUCAUUCAUUUAUGCCUGAUCAGCCAUGAACGUGCAACUACAUUAAAGUUUGCAUUAAAAUUUUGUUUGCAAAUAGAGGUCAGCGAAGCCUUUUCUUGGCCCAGACAGACCUGCACCGCCUGCCCACCCGACAGGAGCUAUAACUAUUCUACAUAUUUAGGAGACAUUUAAUAUUGUGUGCGGCGUGCAGGCUAUUCAUUUAGGACAUGAUUUCCUUUUAAAAGGUCUAUAUUUUGGCCAGAUUUUUUUUACACUGAGAGGCUUAAAUUCUCUGGAUAUAUCUCACUUUGGGGUUUGUAUUUUGCUAUUCUCGACCAUGAUAAUUAAUGGUAUAUUCUGUGGCAUAAAGAUUAUGCCUCAUGUAUGUAGUGACGCAAAGGACCCGUGUACACGCAUCACAUAGAGGAGGCGGCUGAUAGCAGGCAAGCGUUUCCCAAAUAUCAUAUUAUAGUACUAGCUUUCUAGAAUUAAAUGGAACUACAUAUUGUUUUCAACUUCUAAGCAAUGUAUUUAUAUGCCUAUUUGACAAAUUCCCCUUUAAUCUGAAUCACAAGAAACAGAGAGUAUACAGAGAGUGCGUGGGAGAAAUUUACGUGCCAUCAUGAGGAAAGAGGGAACAACCUACGGUAUGUUGAUUCUAUAUCUCGAGCAAAGCAGAUUCUUACCUCGAUACCUGCAAGAGCAAGAGAAGCAUACAACCAUAGCCAGGUAAUCGUGUCAUUCACAGAUCAUUGGUGACAGAGGCAUAUUUUAUUUAAAGGUGCCUCUGUUUCAUAACAUGUCUGAUUAUGUGUCGCGGGAUUAUAUAUUGGGGGCACUAGCUAGCAAAACAGUAAUUCUUGUAACCCAUCAAGUCGGGUUCAUACCAUCUACUGACUUCAUACUGGUAAUAACAUUAUCCUUACAGUCGAAGCACUACUUUUUAGAGGCUAAUGCACAUGGUAUAUAUGCUGUUUCAAAUUUAUCAGCAUGUUAAGUUGUUCAAUUCGGUGUGUUGUUUAUGCAUGUUUCCUGAUGAGAAUAAUACAACAGAUUCUGCAUGAAAGUUUUGCCAUCUUUUGUAAUAUUUCUCAUUAGAAUGUUCAUGGGAUAAUGGGCCCUUGGUCUCUCAUUUGUGCUUUAUUUUUCUCAUGGCACAUGCUCAAGGAUGGUCAUAUCGCCCAAGAUGGAAAAUAUGAGGAUCUUCUCCAAGCUGGAACUGAGCUCAAUGCACCAAGAACAAAAUCAAUUGAAGCAACACUUCGUGUAUAAUGUAUUGUGAACCUUGGAUUGAGCUCAUGUGUGUGGUUUAUGUAUUGUGAGCCUUGGAUUGAGGUCAUGUGUGAGGCUAAUGUAUUGUGAGCCUUUUACUUUGUAAUAUGUGAUAAUGAUGUGACAGGCUCAUGGAUUGUGGACACCAAAUUUAUGUGGCAAUUCUGUAAUGUGGAGUACCCAUGAUGACAUGACAAUGCCUAAAUGAUGCCAAUUUUUCUGUCUAA
RNA transcript from Triticum aestivum (bread wheat), 1569 nucleotides. RefSeq lists it as uncharacterized. The transcript has 2 exons. NCBI's taxonomy places the organism in Eukaryota, Viridiplantae, Streptophyta, Magnoliopsida, Poales, Poaceae. The record is from RefSeq and is a predicted model, not a curated record.